RNAcentral lists this ribosomal RNA (305 nucleotides) under uncultured bacterium. Its description in RNAcentral is "bacterial SSU rRNA". It matches the Rfam family "Bacterial small subunit ribosomal RNA", at positions 338 to 658 of the family's 1533-position model. The record is from RNAcentral.
CCUACGGGGGGCAGCAGUGGGGGAUAUUGCACAAUGGGGGGAACCCUGAUGCAGCGACGCCGCGUGAGUGAAGAAGUAAUUCGUUAUGUAAAGCUCUAUCAGCAGGGAAGAAUAAAUGACGGUACCUGAGUAAGAAGCCCCGGCUAACUACGUGCCAGCAGCCGCGGUAAUACGUAGGGGGCAAGCGUUAUCCGGAUUUACUGGGUGUAAAGGGAGCGUAGACGGCGAUGCAAGCCAGAUGUGAAAGCCCGCGGCUCAACUGCGGUAGUGCAUUUGGAACUGUAUGGCUGGAGUGCAGGAGAGGG